ACGGGGGAGGAACACGUGGGUAACCUGCCCUGAAGUGGGGGAUAACAUUUGGAAACAGAUGCUAAUACCGCAUAGAUCCAAGAACCGCAUGGUUCUUGGCUGAAAGAUGGCGUAAGCUAUCGCUUUUGGAUGGACCCGCGGCGUAUUAGCUAGUUGGUGAGGUAAUGGCUCACCAAGGCGAUGAUACGUAGCCGAACUGAGAGGUUGAUCGGCCACAUUGGGACUGAGACACGGCCCAAACUCCUACGGGAGGCAGCAGUAGGGAAUCUUCCACAAUGGACGCAAGUCUGAUGGAGCAACGCCACGUGAGUGAAGAAGGCUUUCGGGUCGUAAAACUCUGUUGUUGGAGAAGAAUGGUCGGCAGAGUAACUGUUGUCGGCGUGACGGUAUCCAACCAGAAAGCCACGGCUAACUACGUGCCAGCAGCCGCGGUAAUACGUAGGUGGCAAGCGUUAUCCGGAUUUAUUGGGCGUAAAGCGAGCGCAGGCGGUUUUUUAAGUCUGAUGUGAAAGCCCUCGGCUUAACCGAGGAAGCGCAUCGGAAACUGGGAAACUUGAGUGCAGAAGAGGACAGUGGAACUCCAUGUGUAGCGGUGAAAUGCGUAGAUAUAUGGAAGAACACCAGUGGCGAAGGCGGCUGUCUGGUCUGUAACUGACGCUGAGGCUCGAAAGCAUGGGUAGCGAACAGGAUUAGAUACCCUGGUAGUCCAUGCCGUAAACGAUGAAUGCUAGGUGUUGGAGGGUUUCCGCCCUUCAGUGCCGCAGCUAACGCAUUAAGCAUUCCGCC
Molecule: ribosomal RNA, 786 nt
Filed under: uncultured bacterium
Lineage: Bacteria
Description: bacterial SSU rRNA
Rfam family: Bacterial small subunit ribosomal RNA
Source: RNAcentral